CCGACACGCGCCGCUGCCCUUUGCCUCCGCCCCCGUAGCCGUCCGCGUGCGCCGCCCUUUGCCUCCGCCACCACCGCCGUCCGUAUCGCUGCCCUUUGCCUCCGGUCACUUAUAUCCCCAAAUCACGGAGCUACCAAUCAUUACACAAAUCUCCGCAUCUGCGGAUGUGGCUGCAGCCCACGUCGUUCCACUGUGAGGCACCGGGAGAGCGGGGAAGGCAAGAUGAUGGAGGGUUGGGAGGCCUAUUUUAUGGCCGGCGAACACGAGACUAGCAAGGUCCGCGACCUCGGUGAAGCCCGUGGCAGUGGGAGGCCGGGCAGGUACCGGCAAGCGCGCAAGCGCCACCUUAGGGGAGGGGCGACCUGCGACGAGAGGGGCAACUCCGGCAUGCCAAGUUUGGAACUACAAAAGCACGCUCACCGUCGGCCAGUGAGGUUAGUCACCAGUCACCACCCGCUGUUCUACCUGCUCGGUUUGUUUUGCUUCCAUCCGUGUUGACUUCCUGCCUUUGCUUGGCAUCACGAGGGUGCAUCCAGUGAUUAUGUGCUUCUCCGUGAUGGGGGUGGCAAUUUGUGUGUUAAUUAUCUUUGAGCUGACCAGGGCCUCUUCAACUGGCUUGGCAAUUGCGCUGGCAGCCGGAACAGUGUGUGAUUGGUAGAACCUUGCCUAUCUGACGUUAAUUCCGUGGUUCAUAGUCUACAUACUGAUGUUAUUAUAUCCACCUAUUAGAUAUGUGUCAUUCGUACCUGUUAAACUUGAGUGUUUUUAUUUAUUUAUUGGAUUCAACCGCCUCUAUGAUUUGGUGACCAUCUUUAAUCAUUUUACAUUAGAACCUUCUUUAUUUUGGUUGCACCAAGACUUAAUGUUGUGUCAUGAUACUGCUUGCUUCUGAACUUACAACAAAAAUAUUUCAUUCAUGUUCUGACAUACUUUGGUGAAGACUAAAUUUUGCAUUAAUUACAAAUAUGUUUUGCACAUAUAUGUUAGCACAUGAUUCAGUUUCUAUAAUUUCAUAUUACUGCAAUUCCACGCAGGGGAUUUGUGUCCAUUCAUGACUUGCUGUACUAUAGGAGUUGUUGAGAAUUCCUGGACAAAUAAAAGUUUCCUGCUUGGGUCACAAUUACUCAAAUAUGAGCCUUUUCAAUGCUUUCUUUUUUAUGUACUAUUUAUUUGAUCAACAACCUAUGUGAAGUACUUUACGGAGCAACCAUGCUGUAGUGCCUUAUAUACAAUUAAUCACCUUCUAUUCAUAGAUGACAGACAAUAUUCCAGAGCAGGUGGUACGAGCUUCAUGUAUGUUGCUGAUUCAUAAGAGACAGACUUGGGUGCAGGUGACGUAGUCCUUGGAAUGCUUCCUUUAGAAUAGAAAUUUCUAGGCCAUGGAGUUAAUAUAUAAAUUGAAAUUAAGACAAGAAGAAUGCAUUUAGUUAGGUUUACUCUACAUUGUACUUUGAUUUAAAAAGAAACAUGUUUUGUUGUUUCAUGAGAUUGAAUCAUGGGCUGUGACCAAGCAAUAUAUUGCAUGCUCAUAGUGUGUUUUAUUUACAUUUGUGUUCUCCUACAUGGAAAAUAUAGACUUAAUGCCAGAUUGGAAAUUACAUUUUAUUUGUGUCACCCAGAAGGUCCAGAAUUGAUAGAAAUAUGACCUUUAUUUGUCCAUGAGCAAUCUUUUCAAAUAACCAUUUAAUGAUUACCUCUUUCUAUUGCUACUCAGAUGCUUAGCAUAAGCCAAUAAAAAAAUACUAGGUAGUUCUGGUUAUAAAUUAAUUGUCGGUUUAUAAUCAUAUUACGGGUACUCGGAUGCUUAGCAUAAGCCAAUAAAAUAAUAUUAGGUAGUCAUUAUUAUAAAUUAAUUGUCGGCUUAUAAUCAUAUUACGGGUACUCAGAUGCUUAGCAUAAGCCAAUAAAAUAAUACUAGGUAGUUCUGGUUAUAAAUUAAUUGUCGGCUUAUAAUCAUAUUACGGGUACUCGGAUGCUUAGCAUAAGCCAAUAAAAUAAUAUUAGGUAGUACUGAUUAUAAAUUAAUUGUCGGCUUAUAAUCAUAUUACGGGUACUCAGAUGCUUAUCAUAAGCCAAUAAACAUUGUGAAAUAACCAUUCAAUGAUUCAUUUUUCUAUAUCAGGAAAUUACAUUUUAUUUGUGUCACCUAGAAGGUUCUGAACUGAUAGAAAUGUGAUCUUUAUUUGUCCAUGAGCAAUCUUGUCAAAUAACCAUUUAAUGAUUACCUCUUUCUACUCCUACUACGCACAUACACCACCGCCAACCAUCCUCCCGAAACAGUCGCUCGGCUAAUAUGGUGUUUCCAUGCUGAUCGCACUUUUGUUCUUGCUAUUAUGAUAGCUAAGUAUGAAACUCGGGGUUUAGAAGCUUGAGAAAUUGUAUCUGGACAUGGCCUUGCAAAAAGAAGUUAGGUGCAUUCUCUAUAAAGGGCAACCUGGUGCAUGUAGCUCCCGCUUGCGCAGGGUCCAGGGAAGGGUCCGACCACUUUGGGUCUAUAGUACGCAGCCUUUCCCUACAUUUCUGUAAGAGGCUGUUUCCAGGACUUGAACCCAUGACCUCAUGGUCACAAGGCAGCAGCUUUACCACUGCGCCAAGGCUCCCCUUCAGGUGCAUUCUCUAUGAGAAACUGAAAAUAUAUAUUUUCUUAAAUUAGGUCAGGUCUAUAUACUAUCUUUGGUAACUGAAAUUGUUAUGCUUAUAUUGAAAAUAAUUUGAAAUUUACAAGGCAGUGGAGCCAGUUCAUAUUUUGUGAUCAACCAAAGUGCAAGCAACCUAAAUUAGUAAUCUUCGAAUAAACUGGCUUAUAAAUUUUUGAUGGUUUUGUCAAUAGUACAGUAGCACUGGAUAUUCUGCUAUUUCUUAUAUUUAGAAUUUGCGCUGACCUGAUUACUACUGUGCCAUGCAGAAACCUUGAUGCAAAAGGAAGCUCCAUGAAGAAGAGAUUGAAAAUCCAACAUCACAACAUAUAUCUGAUUUCUUAUUUUCAUGAUUAGCAAAGUUAUUGCAGACUGCUUGUUUGUUGUCUGAUAAAAUACAUCUCUGAAAAUUCAAUAGACCCUUUGAUCGAGUUUACAUCUGUUAUCCUGUCUGUUCCAAAUUUGAUUUAGGUCUAUAGGCAAGGGCUAAACUGAAUCAUGCUACUACACAAGGGCUAAACUAAACCAUACUAGUACUUCCUACAUGCCCAAUUACUGAUGAUAGGAACUAACAGUUGGGCUGGGCGAUGUUCCCAUGCAUGGUCGCGCUAUGUUAAUUAGUGUGUGCUGACCGUAACAUGUUACUAUUAUUUUUCCGCAGAGGAGAGAGGGCCUGGCGAAGCACGUGGACCAGUUAUCAUUACGGUGGAUUUUACACGACGCACGCGCAUCGGUCUAGUUAGCGCGUAUGCUAAGAAAUAAAGUGCACAGACUUAAUUUAGCAUGUCAAAACACUUUCUUUGACUCCUGAAUUUAGAAUUGCUGCUUGGUACGCACUAUUAAUUUUCAUACUAAUAGGCUUAACCAAAACUCCGCCUAUGUCUUCUAGGCAUAGCCGGUCCCAAGCCCGGGUAAAGGAGGAGGGUUGUGAUAGGCUUGGCGAGCCAACGUAAAAACUAGCCAGUCCCAUGGGUAUGAAACCCAUUUGAGCGAGAGUAGUACUAGGAUGGGUGACCUCCUGGGAAGUCCUCGUGAAAGGGUUUCAUAUCUAAGGGUUGUGGUAGGCUUGGCGAGCCAACGCAAAAACUAGCCAGUCUUUUGGGUAUGAAACCCAUUUGGGCGAGAAUAGUACUAGGAUGGGUGACCUCCUGGGAAGUCCUCGUGAAAGGCUUUCAUAUCUAGCCUACCCCAACUUGUUUGGGAUAAAAGGCUUCGUAAGUAAGUAUAGGCUUAACCAAAUGUUGUAUCAAUUGGGUAAAGUACUCCAUUGCACUUCCAGGCAAACUUCGGCAAUUAGUCAGAAUCCAAUGUCACCCAUGAUUGGUAUUAUGGGUAUCCAUUAGUACUACCAACGUACUGUAGCCAGGUACAAUCAGUACGGACAUGCACUAAUCAGCAUCACCUCUGCAUUCUAAUUAUGCAGUGAACUUGCCGCGGAUCAUUUACAGUUUUGAAACAAUGCUGAAACUCUCACACUUUUUCUUGGCAGAAAACAGCUUACAGAAUAUAGCCAAUCUAUUUUUUGUAUGAAUCCGAGCUUACUAAUUUAUUCAUCUGGAGAUAAAUUGAUUGUAGUUUGACACUUGGUUGUUGCUUCCUUAUUUUUCAAAUGUACCCCCCUUUCAAGCACACACUAGGUUGAUUCAGAUAUUAUAGAACUCUACAUCGUAUUAUACAUAUUAUUUCUGUUGUGUUUCAGCUUAGCGGAAAAUUUCAUUCGAAGAUUUGACUAGCAUCCAACCAGAGGAAUGACCCGAAGGGUUAGCAAUCUUACAAGUUUGAAAAGUGUGACAAUAGUAGGGAUUUUGUUUUUCUGGUAACACAGUACUUGGUCAGGUUUUACAGUGUGGUCCCAGGUCUCAUAGGUGUGAAAGCUUUGCUAUAUGUAUGCUGUUGGAGAAAUUAUAUAGCUGUUGUGGUGAAAAUUCCUAUUUAUGGUUAAAUAAAUCAUGUUGUUUCUUCUUUGUUAAUAACCAUGCCUACUAUGAUCCUGCGCUUCUUACUCUUUGUGUAGGCUUGUUGUCAAAACAACAAACUUAACAUGUGCUUGAUUAACUCGGUCAAGCUAUUGUUGUAGUUGUCUGAUGUAUAAAAGUGUAAUGUUCUCCUGAUGUCUAUUCUGAUGUUUCUACUAUACUACUUUUCUUGAGAAGUUUUCAUGGUCCCACCCAGAUUAUACGCCAUAUUAGAUCAUCAGAUUACCUACUAAUCGACUUGCCAAUGACUACAACACUUGGUUGAUUGCUUGUGGAUGAUUCUGCAAUGUAGUGAAAGAAUUUCAGUAACUAAAUCCGCACACUGUUCUUCAACAAUGGACAAUUUCUGAAACUUUUUGUAGAUUGUGACCGAUAUGAUUCAGGUCAGAAACGUUGGAUGUUGAAUGCUAUAGGAAUGGCGAUACAUAUGCUAUCUGUGAAUCAAUUGGCCCAAUCCUGCCUCACUAGCUAUGAGAAAUAAUUUAGAUGAGAGUUUAUAAAGAGCAUGUCAAAGAAAAGUGAGUCUGGUUCACGAUGGUGCACGAAAGGUGAGGGUGCUUUACGCUCAGGACAGUUGAUUAGGAACUCUUUGAUUUGUAUCAUUACCACUGGCUUGGUACCUGUACGUAGAUGUGUAUGUGUAUCUGUAAAAAUUAAUGUUUUGGUUUAGUAUUUUUCUUAAUUCUCAAGAGCAAAAAGAAAAUAUGUUGUCAGUGUGUACGUACAAUACUAUACACAUCAAGUCGGAAUCAAAGUCGGAUCGAAAGCGAAGAAAUGGCUAACCCUGACCGUGCACCUCUCCAGCCCCAGGGUUUACUGCUUUGAACGCUUUAACGAUUUUGUUAUUAUUAUUGCUGUUCAAUCAGGUUGCGACGAAUCGGAUCGGGAUGGGUAGCUAGAUGUGGAUCGAUGGUGGCGGCUGGAAAGGGUUAACCCUCGUCGUCUACCUCUCCUGCUACUCGGUGGUGACGUGUGAACUAUCCGACGUAUGAGGACUCGGAAUGUGGUGUUUGCUCCACAAUGAAGCACAUGACCUUUCCUUGAAGGAUGCAUGGACACGUGCGGACCAUCCCCCACCCCCUCCAAUGAAACAAGUCUGUAACAUUGAUUCAGAAGCGAGAGGGCGAGUCUGUAACAUUGAUUCAGAAGCGAGAGGGCGUAUGAGGCUCGGUGUACAUAUGGACCAG
This 5799-nucleotide ribosomal RNA is filed under the name Triticum aestivum (bread wheat). Lineage: Eukaryota; Viridiplantae; Streptophyta; Magnoliopsida; Poales; Poaceae. The record is from RNAcentral.